This 579-nucleotide ribosomal RNA is filed under the name uncultured bacterium. RNAcentral's name for it is "bacterial SSU rRNA". It matches the Rfam family "Bacterial small subunit ribosomal RNA", at positions 894 to 1500 of the family's 1533-position model. The record is from RNAcentral.
UUAAAACUCAAAGGAAUUGACGGGGACCCGCACAAGCAGAGGAGGAUGUGGUUUAAUUCGAAGCUAAGCGAAGAACCUUACCGAGGCUUGACAUCUCUGGAAUUUUGGCGAAAGCCGAAAGUGCCUUCGGGAACCAGAUGACAGAUGCUGCAUGGCCGUCGUCAGCUCGUGUCGUGAGAUGUUGGGUUAAGUCCCGCAACGAGCGCAACCCUCGUCGUCAGUUGUAUUUUCUGGCGAGACCGCCCGGGCCAACCGGGAGGAAGGUGGGGAUGACGUCUGGUCAGCAUGGCUCUUACGCCUCGGGCUACACACGUCCUACAAUGGCCACUACAACGCGCUGCCAAACCGUAAGGUGGAGCAAAUCGCAUCAAAAGUGGUCUCAGUUCGGAUUGAGGGCCGAAACUCGCCCUCAUGAAGCUGGAUUUGCUAGUAAUGGCAGGUCAGCCAUACUGCCGUGAAUACGUUCCCGGGUCUUGUACACACCGCCCGUCAAAUCACGAAAGUUAGGAGUACCCAAAGUAUCAGCUUGCUGGUCCUAAGGUAAAUCUAGCGAUUGGGGUUAAGUCGUAACAAGGUACC